This 1934-nucleotide small RNA is filed under the name Rattus norvegicus (Norway rat). RNAcentral's name for it is "uncharacterized LOC102548352". The record is from RNAcentral. Lineage: Eukaryota; Metazoa; Chordata; Mammalia; Rodentia; Muridae.
GGGGUGGGGUGGGAGGGUGUCAGUAAAAAGAUCGCGCAGCUCCUCCCAGCCCUGGCAUCGCUGUUUUCUGUUCUGGGCAGCGAGGGCUGCCAGACAGACCUCAGCCAAACUUGCACACCUCCUCCUCGCCCCACCCCUUACACCCUCAUCGGCCACACCCGCGCGGCCUGACUCGCUCCGGCGCACCCGUGUUUUGGGAAGCUUCUGAAGAGAGAGCUUGGUGGUCUAAGGAUGCUGUUCCCUUCCUUCCCCGAGACCUUUGGUGCCAUCUGGACGGAGGAGCCCAGACUUUUAUGAACAGAAUAAGGGGAAAUCCCCUAGAGAAGUCCGCACUGUUCCCCGAUCUCUUCGGCCCAUUUUGGGGGAAAGUGGAAACGCCCAAGGUUGUUGUACCCAGCGCGGGCUGAGGUUUUCCAGGAUCCCGCAAAGAGGCAAGGAGUUGGUCUCUCCGGUGGUUUAAAUGCGGCCGAAGGAGCUACUAUUCCUGCUGCCCGGUCCUACUCUCCAGGUCUUCCUUGAGCCUUGGAACCUCCCACCUGGGUCCUGCCCUGGAUCCUGGCAGGCAGAUACUCUCAUCCGUGAGUCAGGCCUCCUCAGACCCAGCUCCUCUCCUCCACCUGAGACCAAGAAUUCCUGACACCAGCAGUUGGAACAGCCUCAACUCCAGCGUCGUUUCUUCUUGUCAUCUCUGUUUCCGAGUCCUGGGCUCCAAGCCAGGGCGUGAUCCACCACUAGGGCCUCUCCCUCUACCAUAAACGACCAUGCUCCCUCGUGUCCCCUCCCUGGCCUGGGGUUGCCAAACAGAACGGGCAUGCUGACUCAAAGCUGGCCCAAGCAUCCAGGUUCUGCCAGAAAUGAGGAGCAACCUGGGAUAAACUGACGAUGUCGAGUGUGUGGCACUGAUAACUGCCUGCCGAGGGUUCUGAGCUAGAGUUUGCCCGCCCAUAGCCGUUUUCUCUACGUCUGACGUACCCUGGUGGCCACAGAGGCUCUUGGUCUAAGGGCACACUCCUGCUUUUGUGAAAUUCCGUCCGGAAGGUCCUGUCCCAGGUCCAGCUGCCUCAAUAGGAAACAGGAAGUUCAUCUGCCCAAAGAGAUGGGGAUGACAAGGAAAGCUCUCAGACCGUCCUUGAUGUCACUCACGGGCAAGGAUCAGAUCCCAGCAUGGGCUACAAGGUUGCAAGGAUCAGAUGCCAGCAUGGGCUACAAGGUUGCAAGGAUCAGAUGCCAGCAUGGGCUACAAGGUUGCAGCCCCCCUGAUAAUCUUAGGAUAGCACGGGGUCCUUGAGGGGGUUUUCUUUUCUUUUCUCUUUUGGUUUUACAAGACAGGGUUUCUCUGUGUAGCCCCAGCUGUCCUGUAACUCACUUUGUAGACCAGGCUGGCCCCAAACUCGUAGAGAUCUGAACCUAUCGAGAUCUGCAUGCCUCUGCUCCUGAAUGCCGGGAUCAGGCAUGUGCUCCCACACCCAGCAAUUGAGGAUAUCUUCCUGAGAUUAUGUUAAUCAGCAUUCAUAGUGAAUGGAACUGAGUCAGCUUUAAUGUGGGUGUUCAAUGUUCUCCUCCGCUUACCCCAGCCGCAGCAAGUGGAGUGCUUCAUGCUUCGUGAGUCCUGAGGAAAGUGUUCCAUAGCUAUGUCCUCUAAUCUGAAAAAUUCCCUCUUGGAGGGAGAAAGAGGGUUGGAAGACUCAGGAAGCUAAAGAAACUUGCAAGGCUCAGGAAGUCACAAAAUUUUACAAGGCCUCUCCCAGGUUUCUCUAUUCAGUGAACACAUCGGCAGAGGGAGAGGGGGCCCUGGUGGAGCUGCUGCAAGUUCUUCAGGGAGUCUUUAUGAACCCUUACCCAGGCUGGGGAGGUGACCCAGUGACCCAGUGGCCUCUGGCUCACCUGUGACUCUGGUAAGUUCACCAGUUCACCGAAUGAAAACUUCUAUUUUC